CAGUGUUCUCCAAGGGCGAGGACAAGUGAGUUUUGGGUAAAGCAGGAACCUCCAAGUCCCUGGUUUAGAGUCUUCUCGGAGUCUUGAAGGUUUCUGCUGAAAAGAAAUUCUCUGAGAGGAUAUCUUUGGCUACUCUAUAUAAGAAACCAACACAACUUUGCAAAAAUUUACAAGCAAAAACUGGUAGAACAACAAAAAAUUUACUGUGGCUUGAGUAGAUACUUUACUGUUGUUUUGAGUGACUCAAGAAAGCUCUCCUCCUCGUAGUGAUGUAUAGUUAAGAGAACUCGAGUCUGCUGCUGCUGCUAAGUUGCUUCAGUCGUGUUCAACUCUGUGCGACCCCAUGGACAGCAGCCGACCAGGCUCCGCCGUUUCUGGAAU
This is a long non-coding RNA of Bubalus bubalis (water buffalo), 381 nucleotides long. RefSeq lists it as uncharacterized. The transcript is spliced from 4 exons. The record is from RefSeq and is a predicted model, not a curated record. NCBI's taxonomy places the organism in Eukaryota, Metazoa, Chordata, Mammalia, Artiodactyla, Bovidae.